This 433-nucleotide ribosomal RNA is filed under the name uncultured bacterium. RNAcentral's name for it is "partial 16S ribosomal RNA". It matches the Rfam family "Bacterial small subunit ribosomal RNA", at positions 29 to 507 of the family's 1533-position model. The record is from RNAcentral.
AACGAACGCUGGCGGCAUGCCUAACACAUGCAAGUCGAACGAGACCUUCGGGUCUAGUGGCGCACGGGUGCGUAACGCGUGGGAACCUGCCCUUAGGUUCGGAAUAACUCCCCGAAAGGGGUGCUAAUACCGGAUAAUGUCUUCGGACCAAAGAUUUAUCGCCUUUGGAUGGGCCCGCGUUGGAUUAGCUAGUUGGUAGGGUAAAAGCCUGCCAAGGCGACGAUCCAUAGCUGGUCUGAGAGGAUGAUCAGCCACACUGGGACUGAGACACGGCCCAGACUCCUACGGGAGGGAGGAGUGGGGAAUAUUGGAACAUGGGCGAAAGCCUGAUCCAGCAAUGACGGGUGAGUGAUGAAGGCCUUAGGGUUGUAAAGCUUUUUUAACCGGGAUGAUAAUGACAGUACCGGGAGAAUAAGCCCCGGCUAACUCCGUG